AACGAACGCUGGCGGCAUGCCUAACACAUGCAAGUCGAACGAGACCUUCGGGUCUAGUGGCGCACGGGUGCGUAACGCGUGGGAACCUGCCCUUAGGUUCGGAAUAACUCCCCGAAAGGGGUGCUAAUACCGGAUAAUGUCUUCGGACCAAAGAUUUAUCGCCUUUGGAUGGGCCCGCGUUGGAUUAGCUAGUUGGUAGGGUAAAAGCCUACCAAGGCGACGAUCCAUAGCUGGUCUGAGAGGAUGAUCAGCCACACUGGGACUGGGACACGGCCCAAACUCUGAGGGAAGGGAGAAGGGGGGAAAAUGGGACAAUGGGGGAAAGCAUGAGCCAGCAAGGCCGGGUAGGGGUUGAAGGCGUUAGGAUGGUAAGGCUUUUUACCCGGGAUGAUAAUGACAGUACCGGGAGAAUAAGCUCCGGCUAACUCCGUG
This 432-nucleotide ribosomal RNA is filed under the name uncultured bacterium. Its description in RNAcentral is "partial 16S ribosomal RNA". It matches the Rfam family "Bacterial small subunit ribosomal RNA", at positions 29 to 507 of the family's 1533-position model. The record is from RNAcentral.